Molecule: non-coding RNA, 106 nt
Organism: Pholiota molesta
Lineage: Eukaryota; Fungi; Basidiomycota; Agaricomycetes; Agaricales; Strophariaceae
Source: the annotation of a GenBank genome assembly
GCCUCCUUGGCUCAGUUGGUUAGAGCGCAGGUCUCAUAUAUAGCAAUAUGAAUAACACUUGUGUUAUGCAAUCCUGAGGUCGCAAGUUCGAACCUUGCAGGGGGCA